Pelobates cultripes (western spadefoot toad) is the source of this 184-nucleotide non-coding RNA. NCBI's taxonomy places the organism in Eukaryota, Metazoa, Chordata, Amphibia, Anura, Pelobatidae. The record is from the annotation of a GenBank genome assembly.
AUCAAAUGCAUAGAAGAUCCUCCAGAUAGCACUCUCAGGACUUGUCAAAGACUAAAACUUAGCUUUUAAUUAGCUUUCCAUAAAACAUCAACAUUGAUGUUUUAUGGAAAGCAAAUUAAAAGCUAAGUUUUAGUCUUUGACAAGUCCUGAGAGUGCUAUCUGGAGUAUCUUCUAUUCAUAUAGC